UACGUAGGCAGCAAGCGUUGUUCGGAGUUACUGGGCGUAAAGGGUGCGUAGGCGGCCGUGUAAGUGUGGUGUGAAAUCUCCCGGCUUAACUGGGAGGGUGCGCUACAGACUGCAUGGCUAGAGUGUGGGAGAGGAAAGUGGAAUUCCUGGUGUAGCGGUGAAAUGCGUAGAUAUCAGGAGGAACACCGGUGGUGUAAACGGCUUUCUGGACCAUAACUGACGCUGAUGCACGAAAGCGUGGGUAGCAAACAGG
Molecule: ribosomal RNA, 253 nt
Filed under: Acidobacterium sp.
Lineage: Bacteria; Pseudomonadati; Acidobacteriota; Terriglobia; Terriglobales; Acidobacteriaceae
Also listed under: 2 other names
Description: partial 16S ribosomal RNA
Rfam family: Bacterial small subunit ribosomal RNA
Source: RNAcentral